GAACUUUAUAGUCUCAGAAAUUGAUUUGAUCCGCGGAGCGGGCUGGAUCCCUAAUCUCAUAAAUUCUACAGAGAAUUUAUCAAUCAAUAACCCAAAGAAGGGGAAAAAAAGGGGAUAUGAUUGGACAAUUUCUGUAAAAAAGAAGGCGUGAUUUGGUAUUAUUAGUGUUUCCAUUUUGAAAAAGAAGCAAAGAGAAUCUGCUAAUUCCGCUCCUUCCAGUUAUCUUCACUAAUUACUAAUAAUUACCCUCUAUAAUUGCUCUUUCAUUUCUCUCAAUUUUUGAAUUUUUCCUCUCUCUUGUUGUAAUUUUUAUUAUAUUGCAAUACAAAGAAGCAGCUCCAAUUCAUCAAAAUGUCCUCCAAAAGUGAUUUCCAAGAAUUUCAAUUCUCAGGUACUCUCUCUCAAGCAAGAAAGAAAGAACUUUCAGAUGAUAGAAACAAGGUUGACAUUCGGUCAAUCAAGACUCUGAAUCCUCAACAUAUGGAUGCUCCCAUUAUACUUCAUUCUAGGAAGAGAGAAACUAUACAAUCUUUAUCGGGUUGUGACUUGCGCAAGAGUUUAGCGUGGGAUAGUGCCUUUUUCACAAGUCCAGGAGUAUUGGAUCCAGAAGAGUUGCUUGAGACUCUUAAUUUUAAAGUAGGGGAUAACGGGGCAGAUAUAACUGGGCAUGUGGAACCAAAGUCUUUACCCUUUGAAUCCACAUUAACACCAACAAAUGUAAUUGAUAGUUUGCGCAAAAGUUUAGCUUGGGAUAGUGCCUUUUUUACAAGUGCAGGAGUUCUGGAUGCUGAGGAGUUGUCUAUCAUAAAUAGAGGAUUUAGAAGGCCAGAAACACUUCCAUUUCCUAGGUUUGAAGAGGAAAUCUGGAGGUCUCCUGAAUCAAAUUCUACCAUAAAUAGUGAUUGUUACUCUCUUGCAAGCCUUGAGAUUGAUCUUUUUGAUGAUAUAAAAGCAUCUAUUCACAAGUCACUUGAUGCUUCAUCCAAUGGGGCAACUUCAACUUGCAAACUGAAAAGAGAAAAAGGAAGGAAAAAUGGCCAUGCUUCAAAAAUACCACAUGUUUCAUCUGGAGUAAAAGUAAGUUUUUGACAUGAUCUUCUUUAACUUGUUAUGAAUAAUAUUUGCUGUGUCACUUUUUAUUGGUAGUGUGGUAUGGGGGACUCACCUAUGCAUCAUCAUCUCAAUUGCUUAUGAUUGAAACUGGCAAUAUUUUAGUUUUAGAGUUCAGAUAGCCAUUAAAGAGGUAUGCUUCUGCUGCUACGCAUUAACCAAGUUGAUGUAUAGGUGAGUCCCAGUAUUAUUAUAUAAUGAAAGGAAUAACUUUUGAGCAUGUCUGAAUUAACAUCAAUUACAUGCUGGUCAAAUAAAGCAUGCUGAUUCAAGUGGAGAAUCCAAACCUUCAUCUUCUCUUAAGCCACUGCAUAUAUCAAGCCGUGCUAUCCCUUCAUCGAUAGUUCCCAGCAAAAGGGCUUCUUUGGGUGCAAAUCAUGUUAAAAUGGAUAAUAAAGCUACAAAAUCUGCCUGCGGAGAAAGUAUGGCCAUGACGAAGAAAAUGUGUUUGCGGGAGUCAUGCAAUAUUAUUUCUAGCUCAAAAGCAUCCACAAAAUCGCCGCCUUCAUUUUUGCCUGCUGCAGAAAGUGAGUUUAUGGGAUUUUGCUCUGCUUCAGCUGAUUUCACUUGUAAAUCUCCUUCAAACCCUCGAAGGAGAACAAUUGAUUCCCGGUUGGAUGCUUGUGGUUCAAGGCUUAGAGCUCCUUUGAUAUACUUGGUUAAAAAUAAAACUGAGUUGGUCAAUUCUAGUGAUUUUAUUUGUUUACCGUCCACAUCCAAUUUGUCCUCUUAUACAUCACCUGCUAGUUCCAUUGAUGGAUGGUCCUCAGAAUCAUCAUCAACAUCUAUCAAGCAGAGAUCAAAUAGUUCUGCUGCUAGUCCUGUAAGUACUCCAUUUAGAGAGAUUUCUUUUGACAUUGGUUCCCCUAAAGCAUCAGAUUCUGAAAGGCAUAGAUAUGGUCAAACCUUGGGGCAUGAAAUUCAGGAAACCAAGCUCUUGAAUCCACAGUUCAACAAUGUCUCAAUGUGUAAAAGUACUGUUUCUCCAAAUAUUUCAAGAAAACCGAGACCUUCAAGUCUUCGAAUGCCAUCACCAAAAAUAGGAUUUUUUGAUGCGGAAAAUUCUGCUGCUUUAGCACAAAAUGGAGGUCUGAAAUUUCACUCUGGUGUACAGGGCGCUUCUUCCAAAAACAGAAGUGGUAUUAACAACGCCAGUGAAUCAGUAAAUAGAACAAGAUAUGGCAAGCAUCGGUUGGCAGGAACCUCAACAGGACCUUCUAGUAAAACAGGUGCGGAGGAUGAGGGGAAUAUCUACUUAAGGGAGAAGAAGCAACCAUUGAAUGAGCAUGAAGAUAUCAGGGUGCAAUGCCCUGAAAAUAAUGUGCAUAGAUUUGGUGAAAAUAACAAGGAAAAUGUAGGUAGUUUGGCAAAUCAAGUUGAUGACCUCAGUCGACGAAUGGAAGCCGUUGAUUUUAGUGGGGACUUUAUUACAGCUUUCAAUUGAAGUAAGGAUCCUUGUUCAUAGUUUGGUAUCAAGAAUAUUUUCAAGCAUGUUGAACUGGUAUCACCGUAUCAUCAUCCUUUAAAGUGUGAGAAUUGAUUGGAAAAUCUGCAAACUUGUGUCCUUUGUAAAGCUUUUCUUUUUCAGUAUGGUCAUUACAUGUAGCACAAGGGCAAGGGCUUGAAUGGCUGUCAAAAAGUUACAUCUCCAACUGAGUUGGGUUAUUUGAGAUGGCAGAACUAUUUCUUCUUUGCUAGGAGAUCAAACAAGAGAAAUUAUGAACCUGUGCAAUUUCUAUAUAGAAUUAGUAAUUCUCUGCAGUGCAAGCCCAUGCAUGCGAGCAAUCAGAAAUCCAUUCUUGCAUGACUGAUGAGAGAAUAUGCUGUAAAUUGCUUAGUUGAUUUUGUAUUAUUGAGGUAUCUUUGUUGAUGAUACGAACAAAUUGCCACUGUCAAAAUUGUGAAUGAAGAUGAAUAAUUGUUUAUUUGAAAGAAC
This 3046-nucleotide unclassified non-coding RNA is filed under the name Hevea brasiliensis (rubber tree). The record is from RNAcentral. Lineage: Eukaryota; Viridiplantae; Streptophyta; Magnoliopsida; Malpighiales; Euphorbiaceae.